CCGGAUUUUGGACUAAAGCCCAGUAAGCAUCCAACUGAAUUUUUCUGCAAAACCUUGACAGCAAGUGAUACAAGUACACAUGGUGGAUUCUCAGUGCCGCGAAGGGCAGCAGAAAAGCUUUUUCCUGCAUUGGAUUACACCAUGCAACCACCAACUCAAGAGCUUGUUGUCAGAGACUUGCAUGAUAAUACCUGGACAUUUCGCCAUAUAUAUCGCGGGCAGCCUAAGCGGCACCUUCUUACAACUGGG
RNAcentral lists this unclassified non-coding RNA (249 nucleotides) under Hevea brasiliensis (rubber tree). Lineage: Eukaryota; Viridiplantae; Streptophyta; Magnoliopsida; Malpighiales; Euphorbiaceae. The record is from RNAcentral.